CGCACUGCAUGGUAUCUGCCCUCAGCAGCUCAUUCCUGCUGGGUGUUCAAAAGACAGUGCAAUAGAAACUCAGUAUCUGGCAUCGUUGGUUCUCUUGGCUUCAUGCAUAGAUUUAGCUUAAAUGUAAGUA
This is a small nucleolar RNA of Zalophus californianus (California sea lion), 130 nucleotides long. Ensembl annotates it as small nucleolar RNA SNORA8. NCBI's taxonomy places the organism in Eukaryota, Metazoa, Chordata, Mammalia, Carnivora, Otariidae. The record is from Ensembl.